Molecule: transfer RNA, 69 nt
Filed under: Rhodosoma turcicum
Lineage: Eukaryota; Metazoa; Chordata; Ascidiacea; Phlebobranchia; Corellidae
Description: transfer RNA-Gly(GGN)
Source: RNAcentral
CUGGACUUAUUUUAAAUGAAAAUGUUUGGUUUCCGACCAAGAGAUCUUUGUGUUAUAUGAGAGUUUAGA